UCCAUGAUGCUGUCGAUAGGCUUAAUGUGCAGGCGGUUAUCUUUGAGGUCUAUCUCACCGCUGGCGUGGGCCUGCUCACCGUCCAGCGGGAUAUCCAAACGCAAGCGUCCGUUAACCUCGCCGCCGACGUCAAUUUCAUCCAGCGCCGAGCCGACGGUAUCUUUGAGCGGAGACUGCUUUAGGUAGUCCCGCACGUCCGGCCCCUGACCGUUAACCUUGGCGUUAAUGUCCAACUGCCCUUUAUGGAAGUCGGCGAUAACGGCGUCAAUGUCAGUGCCUUUGACUUUACCCAGCAUUGCCGACGGCGAGUGCAUCCACAGGCCGCUGUUAAUGAAAUUCAGGUUGAUGGUCAUAUCGCUGAGCGGCUGCCAGGUCGGCUGAAACUUGAAUACCGCGUCCGUCAGCGG
This 407-nucleotide non-coding RNA is filed under the name Leminorella grimontii. The record is from RNAcentral. Lineage: Bacteria; Pseudomonadati; Pseudomonadota; Gammaproteobacteria; Enterobacterales; Budviciaceae.